RNAcentral lists this transfer RNA (111 nucleotides) under Salmo salar (Atlantic salmon). It matches the Rfam family "tRNA". Rfam says of the family: Transfer RNA (tRNA) molecules are approximately 80 nucleotides in length. The record is from Rfam by way of RNAcentral. Lineage: Eukaryota; Metazoa; Chordata; Actinopteri; Salmoniformes; Salmonidae.
GUCAGGAUGGCCGAGUGGUCUAAGGUGCCAGACUCAAAGUGUGAAGACUUCCUGGUUGUCUGUUGUUCUGGUCUCCAAUUGGAGGUGAUGGUUCAAAUCCCUGUUCUGACA